This 626-nucleotide ribosomal RNA is filed under the name uncultured eukaryote. RNAcentral's name for it is "SSU rRNA". It matches the Rfam family "Eukaryotic small subunit ribosomal RNA", at positions 614 to 1319 of the family's 1831-position model. The record is from RNAcentral.
UGCAGUUAAAAAGCUCGUAGUUGAUAUUCGGGUAAAGAAGCUUCUUUAUUGAAGUUUUCUGAGCCUAGGUCUGUACUUGUACAGACCAGUUACUUUGAGAAAAUUAGAGCGCUUAAAGCAGUCAUUGAAUACGUUAGCAUGGAAUAACAGAAGGACGACAUUUCUUUUGUGGGAAUAUCGUAAUUGAUUAACAGGGACAGUCGGGGGCAUCAGUAUUCAGGAGCUAGAGGUGAAAUUCUUGGAUUUCCUGAAGACUAACUAAUGCGAAAGCAUUUGCCAAGGAUGUCUUCAUUAAUCAAGAACGAAAGUUAGGGGAUCGAAGACGAUCAGAUACCGUCGUAGUCUUAACAGUAAACUAUGCCGAUAGAGUGGAGGAUGGACUAUCAAAUCUAUUCUCCGCUCAAGCGAAAGCAGUUGGUUCUGGGGGGAGUAUGGUCGCAAGGCUGAAACUUAAAGGAAUUGACGGAAGGGCACCACCAGGAGUGGAGCCUGCGGCUUAAUUUGACUCAACACGGGGAAACUCACCAGGUCCAGACACAAUGAGGAUUGACAGAUUGAGAGCUCUUUCAUGAUUUUGUGGGUGGUGGUGCAUGGCCGUUCUUAGUUGGUGGAGUGAUUUGUCUGCU